GAUGUCGGCGCCGCGGGGUGUGGACGAGGACGAGCCGGGGUUCGUCACGCUGUACCGUUGGAUCGUAGGCGUAUAGAAUUAGCCCCUGUAAUUACAGGACCUCACGAGGGUUUUUUUGUUAAUUUCCUUCCACAUUUUUUUACUAGGACUUUAUUGUAAAGAGAACAAAAAUUCCAGCUCCAGGUAAGCUUAACGUCUCUCAACCUUCCGUCGA
This 214-nucleotide long non-coding RNA is filed under the name Oryza brachyantha (malo sina). RNAcentral describes it as "long non-coding RNA (OBRA_LNC003599)". The record is from RNAcentral. Lineage: Eukaryota; Viridiplantae; Streptophyta; Magnoliopsida; Poales; Poaceae.